CCUACGGGAGGCAGCAGUGGGGAAUAUUGGGCAAUGGGCGAAAGCCUGACCCAGCGACGCCGCGUGAGGGAUGAAGGUCUUCGGAUUGUAAACCUCUUUCAGUAGGGAAGAAGCGAAAGUGACGGUACCUAAAGAAGAAGCACCGGCUAACUAUGUGCCAGCAGCCGCGGUAAUACAUAGGGUGCAAGCGUUGUCCGGAAUUAUUGGGCGUAAAGAGCUCGUAGGUCGUUUGUCGCGUCGAUUGUGAAAAUCUGAGGCUCAACCUCAGACCUGCAGUCGAUACGGGCAAACUAGAGUGUGGUAGGGGAGACUGGAAUUCCUGGUGUAGCGGUGGAAUGCGCAGAUAUCAGGAGGAACACCAAUGGCGAAGGCAGGUCUCUGGGCCAUAACUGACACUGAGGAGCGAAAGUGCGGGGAGCGAACAGGAUUAGAUACCCUGGUAGUCCGCACCGUAAACGGUGGGCACUAGUUGUGGGAACCUUCCACGGUUUCCGCGACGCAGCAAACGCAUUAAGUGCCCCGCCUGGGGAGUACGAUCGCAAGAUUAAAACUCAAAGGAAUUGACGG
Molecule: ribosomal RNA, 567 nt
Filed under: uncultured bacterium
Lineage: Bacteria
Description: bacterial SSU rRNA
Rfam family: Bacterial small subunit ribosomal RNA
Source: RNAcentral